This 253-nucleotide ribosomal RNA is filed under the name uncultured bacterium. RNAcentral's name for it is "partial 16S ribosomal RNA". It matches the Rfam family "Bacterial small subunit ribosomal RNA", at positions 524 to 776 of the family's 1533-position model. The record is from RNAcentral.
UACGUAGGUGGCAAGCGUUGUCCGGAAUUACUGGGCGUAAAGGAUGCGUAGGCGGACAUUUAAGUCAGAUGUGAAAUACCCGAGCUUAACUUGGGUGCUGCAUUUGAAACUGGGUGUCUAGAGUGCAGGAGAGGUAAGUGGAAUUCCUAGUGUAGCGGUGAAAUGCGUAGAGAUUAGGAAGAACACCAGUGGCGAAGGCGACUUACUGGACUGUAACUGACGCUGAGGCAUGAAAGCGUGGGGAGCAAACAGG